This is a long non-coding RNA of Bactrocera neohumeralis, 820 nucleotides long. RefSeq lists it as uncharacterized. The transcript is spliced from 2 exons. Lineage: Eukaryota; Metazoa; Arthropoda; Insecta; Diptera; Tephritidae. The record is from RefSeq and is a predicted model, not a curated record.
GCGUUAUAUUAUUCAAUCUUUACUAUUUUAACCAUGGUAUUGAAUAACUAACCCCAAUAACCUACUCAGACCACCCAUAUUAAACACUCCUCCAGUAGAAGAACAAAAUUGUGAUUUAAUAGCGCAAAGACAACAACAGAAACAGCAAAAGCAGUUAGAAUUUCAAUAGAACAGAGAUAAAAGGGAACAAAUAUAAAUGAAAGAGCGUAUAACACAGUUAGUUGCGCAGCAGUUGUCGAUCUUGCUGCAGCUUUGUAGUGGAACAAAUGGUUUUGCAAAUGAAACAAGUCAACUGAUUGCACAAGAAUAUCAUAAUAAUUUGACAGACCUCGACCUAGUGCCAGACAUAGUGAAGUGCAUACGUGAGUUUUCAGGAAAUCAAGCUGAAUUCAGCUCUUGGAAGAAGGGAAUUGACAGAAUACUAGAGACUUACAAUAGUUAUAAGGGAACUCCAAAAUACUUCGUUAUAUUGCACACUAUACGUAACAAUAUAACGGGACACACAGAUAAUGCCCUUGGAAUGCAAUGGCCAGAUGCUUAACGCUCCACUUCGCCGACAAACUCGAUUUAGGAACGCUCGAGUAUCAAAUGACCACAAUAAUUCAAGAAUCCAACAUUCGAAGGACGAUUAUUUGACCAAAAAUCACAUUUUAACCAUUAACCACUCCCCGUAUUCACCUGAUAUGGCACAUACUGGUAGCCAUACCAGCCAACGAGCUAAAAACACUCGUUCGACAUGCUUUUGGACUGUGCAAAAAGCUGUAUUGAAGUAGAAGGAGACUAUUUUGAAUAAAAUAAAUUGAUUUUGCCGAAAAAACCA